RNAcentral lists this ribosomal RNA (169 nucleotides) under uncultured bacterium. RNAcentral's name for it is "partial 16S ribosomal RNA". It matches the Rfam family "Bacterial small subunit ribosomal RNA", at positions 118 to 287 of the family's 1533-position model. The record is from RNAcentral.
UGAGCAAUCUGCCCUUCUCAUCGGAAUAAGCGUUGGAAACGACGUCUAAUGCCGAAUACGACCUCCUUUCGCAUGAUCGGAGGUGGAAAGCUCCGGCGGAGAAGGAUGAGCUCGCGGCCUAUCAGCUAGUUGGUGUGGGUAACGGCCCACCAAGGCGACGACGGGUACG